UAAAGAUUCUAAUAUAUAUACGUAACUAAUCAACUAAGUAAAUAUUAAUCUUUAAGUAUAAAACAAAUGUGCUUAAGUAUAAAUUCAUAUACACACAUACACAUGUAUAUAGAUGAAUCAAAACAAAGAAAAAAGUCAUUUAUGUUAACCGGAUAAAUAAGAACAUAAUUUAAAAAUCAUUAAAAACUUGAUUUUCAUAUCCAUAUCUAACAAGUGAAUGAACUAUAAUAAUUGAUUUCUCUUAUAAAAGAACAAAUGAAAUAAAUCAAUUACAUACAAUCCC
This 283-nucleotide long non-coding RNA is filed under the name Carica papaya (papaya). Its description in RNAcentral is "long non-coding RNA (CPAP_LNC007393)". The record is from RNAcentral. Lineage: Eukaryota; Viridiplantae; Streptophyta; Magnoliopsida; Brassicales; Caricaceae.